GGAAAUUAAAUCAGCAUAAUAAACAGAUACCUGAAUGUCCAUGACCAUGGGAACCUAGUUAAAAGAUGACCUGAGAAAGAUUCCGGGUGUUUAUCUUGCAGGAAUCCUAUCUUCUGCUUAGAUAAAAGGAUUAUCUACAAUGAUCCAGGCUAUUCAUCAAUUAUCAAAGAUAUCUACAUUAAUUUUCUAUUUAUUAUCUUUAUAAUCUCUUUAAGGGAAAGAACAUGGGAAGGUUAAAACUGACCAGAUAAAAAUAUUCCCAAACCUGAAGAGAGAUUUUUUUAAAGCA
Molecule: long non-coding RNA, 289 nt
Filed under: Marmota monax (woodchuck)
Lineage: Eukaryota; Metazoa; Chordata; Mammalia; Rodentia; Sciuridae
Source: RNAcentral